Molecule: unclassified non-coding RNA, 231 nt
Filed under: uncultured fungus
Lineage: Eukaryota; Fungi
Description: partial contains 5.8S ribosomal RNA, internal transcribed spacer 2, and large subunit ribosomal RNA
Rfam family: 5.8S ribosomal RNA (bases 1-52)
Source: RNAcentral
AACGCACAUUGCGCCUUUUGGUAUUCCGAAGGGCAUGCCUGUUUGAGUGUUGUUAUUCUCUAUAUCUUAUGAUAUGUGUUGGCUGAAGUAUUUCGAUACUCAGCUUAAAAGGGUGAUUGUACCACGUCUAGGUUUAUCCAUCGUGAGAAGUACAUCUGAUCAUAUACUGUAUACCAGUAUGAUCAAACUCAACAUAACCUCAAAUCAGGUAGGACUACGCGCUGAACUUAA